This is a long non-coding RNA of Pavo cristatus (Indian peafowl), 1566 nucleotides long. Lineage: Eukaryota; Metazoa; Chordata; Aves; Galliformes; Phasianidae. The record is from Ensembl.
GCUGUGUGGCCAUGUCUUUAGGGCUGAUGAGGGACAGCUUUGUACUUGGGCUCUGAUGUUGCUCUGUACUUUGAAGCUUCUUCAUUUUCCUCCUCUCCCUCUUCGCCGCUCUCCGCUUUUUGUUCUUCAAGUAACUGUCUUCUGUUUGGUAUAAGAAGUCUACGAUUAUCGCAAUCUGCAAUUACAAAGAAGCGUUAGAACCACGUCCCUUCCCCUAUGGAAAAGCAUUAGAAACUUUUGCAAUUAGUUUAUUUCAGAACNUUGGCAAACCUGCCCAUGGCAGGGGGUUGGAACUAGAUGAUCUUUAAGGUCCCUUCCAACCUUUCUAUGACUUCAUUCACAGUGGGACAUUCACUACUGUUGUUGCUUCAGAAGAGUUCCUUGGCUCUGUCAUUCUCAGAGAAAAGCAGCUGGAUGAGAUGGGUUGUCUGCCUUUCCUCAGUGCCGCACUUGAAGAUUUAUGAAACAGGCAUUCCACUGAGCUCAGCAAAUGAUGGGCAUAAUAACUUAUCUACAUUGCAAAGUAUGUGAUGCCCUUGAGGUAAACUACGAUGUGAAGGUUUUAUGAAGUGUCUCACAUGUAGAAGUGUUUAUUUGCCAGCUCCUGUCUGUCCUUUGGCUGUUCAAAUGAUGUUAAGAGGAUCCUAUGAAACCACUAUGAAAGCCUAGAGGCUAAAUUGAGAAGUAGAACUGCGUUAUUAUCUUCAGAGCACAGCCAUAUUGGCACCUGCUGCCCUAUUUGGCUCUCCUCUCUUUGGAUGUCAGAAGUUUCCAGUUGAUGGGAUCUAAAGUAUUUGUUUAUUUAAUGAAAUGCCUCUUGCUGUGUAAUACUGUGAGGCUUUAUUAAUGAAUUUAUUUUUAUGAGGCAGGAAAGCAAUCCCUUGUAAUACUUCUCUUUGAAAAUUGCAGGGAAGUGAAGGCUUUCUGGAGGAAAGGAGGGGCCUUCCUGCCCCUUCAUUUAUCUCAGGUAUCAUAAACCUCUCCACGUUUCCACAGCUGCUAUAAAGUCCUGCAGCUGCCAUACAGAGACCUGAUUCCUUGAGUUACUUAGUGCCAAGCUUGAUCAUGGGCCUUACAUCCGGCUGUGUGGAUUUUCCUGAAUUGCUGAUGCACAGCGUGUGUGUGGGGGCGUCAGGGCUACUGCUCCAUCAGCCCCAUCCCAUGGGAGCUGGCAAUAUCUGAGCUCACAUAUAAUCAAGGGGGCUGCCCCUGAAAGUCUUUGUAAAAUCCCAGAGAAUAGGGAUUUGGAGAGCCUGACCCAGCCCACGUUUCCUUUCUGUUUUUCAAGGACCCCUGAGAUGUAGUUUAGCCUCUGUAGGAAGAGGGUUCUUCACCUGUGCUCUCUGGCCAGGCCCUGUGGCUGGAGUCUGCAGCCUGGUAGUAUUGAGAGAGGAGUGCUCUCAGCGGUGCUGUUCUCUUUUCUCCAGCUAAUUGCUGGGUCAUUUUUCUUUCCUUUGUAUUUAAUGCUUCCGAAAAUAAUUAGCCCAUUUGAGAAAUUAUUGCGCUUAAAAACAUACAUUUGUCAGUGAAUUGGGUGAGCAGCGCAGAGCCCAAAAACACUUGAAG